GUUUGGCUUAGUUUUGUUUUUAAGUAGGUCAACAGUUGGGGUUGGACCCCUAACCCACCCUUACAGAAAAGUUUAUUAAAAAUGUUCUACGGCAAUGCUUUUGUCUGCACUAGUUACAAAGGUAAGCAAAGCAGCUAAGGUCUACUUGAGAAAAAAUCCAAGGUGUUGUUCGGCUUAGUUAUGUUUUUAAGUUGGUCCACAGUGGGGGUCUGACUCAGAAAAGUUAUUUAAAAAUGUUCUACGGCAAUACUUGUGUCUGCAC
Molecule: long non-coding RNA, 262 nt
Filed under: Mytilus galloprovincialis (Mediterranean mussel)
Lineage: Eukaryota; Metazoa; Mollusca; Bivalvia; Mytilida; Mytilidae
Source: RNAcentral